GAUUUAUCGGUUAAGGAUUGGCCCGCGUUAGAUUAGAUAGUUGGUGGGUAAUGGCCUACCAAGUCUACGAUCUAUAGCUGGUUUGAGAGGAUGAUCAGCAACACUGGGACUGAGACACGGCCCAGACUCCUACGGGAGGCAGCAGUGGGGAAUCUUAGACAAUGGGCGCAAGCCUGAUCUAGCGAUGCCGCGUGAGUGACGAAGGCCUUAGGGUCGUAAAGCUCUUUCGCCAGGGAUGAUAAUGACAGUACCUGGUAAAGAAACCCCGGCUAACUCCGUGCCAGCAGCCGCGGUAAUA
Molecule: ribosomal RNA, 298 nt
Filed under: uncultured Alphaproteobacteria bacterium
Lineage: Bacteria; Pseudomonadati; Pseudomonadota; Alphaproteobacteria
Description: partial 16S ribosomal RNA
Rfam family: Bacterial small subunit ribosomal RNA
Source: RNAcentral